GAAGAACAAUGGAUUUCUGGAUUGUUAUAGAUGGAUGGGAAAAUCGAUGGGUUAAAUAUGACUGGAAGAAGGAUGAAAACAUGGCUGGGGAGUGGAACUUUACUUCCAGUAAAUGGGACGGUGAUGCUAAUGACAAAGGUAUCCAAACCAGCAAGGACUACAGAUUUUAUGCCAUCUCUGCUGCAUUCCUGAGUUCAAUAACAAAGGAAAGAUAUUGGUUUUCCAAUUCAAUGUUAAACACGAGCAAAAGCUUGGUUGUGGUGGUGGCUACAUGAGUUGCGCAGUGAAUAUGUUUACCAGAAGAACUUUUAUGGUGACACUCCGUACAGUGAAUGAAAAGUGGGAUCCCAAGCACGACGCACGCCAAGUUACAGAAUAAGGAUGCAAAGGUAUGCCUUUGGUGAGUUUGAGGUAUCAUUGCAGACUAUGGACUGCCUUUGAUGGUUCUAGUUUGGACAGCUAUUCAAUACAUCCCAGCCAAUAAUGUUCCACAUGGUAUCCUUAGACGGCUCCUCAGCCUAAAUCCGUGGUCGCCUGGUGCCUAUGCGAACUGGACAGUCAUCGAGGACAUGCUAAAUGUGCCUAUCUUUUAUAUGUUCAGAGCUUUUAUCCCAGCGACGCAAUGCUUUAUUAUUUGCCUAUAGUGUAGCAUCUCAACUUGCACAGCAAAGCGAGUUCAAUUUCAGAAAACCAUGUUUUUUCCAUUACGAUUUCUGACUCCAUUAUGUGGUCUUCUUGGUGUCCCCCUAUCAAAUGGCGUCAUCCCACAAUCUAUACAAACUGUCUCGCCACUCUCAAAAAACACCAGGUAGAGGAUGGGAAACCUAUUUCAACCUCCGAGGCAUCUCCACCUGAUACAAAAAAUUGAUAACAAAUCAGUUGUGGUUGUGAAGAAAGAUGGUGAAGCUGCAUCCUCUCCAGCAAAAGCUCCCGCAAACAAAUGCUAGCCACAGUACCUGGAGAGGUCCUCUUAGAUUCUUUCAGUAUAUUCAGCAAGGGUAUCGAUGCAGCUGAAGUUGCCGAAAAACAAGCUCUUUCUACUUCAUCCAAAACUGCAACCAAAAUGGUUAGCGAUAGGCAGAAGAAAUGCUCUUGUCCGAUCUUAAAGAAAGCAGCUGAGGCGAACAAAGAUAAACCUAUCCGCUCUUAUGGUAUGCUUAGCUACAGAAUAUAUUCAUGAUGUUUGUAAUACAUAGAAUUUGUAUUCUCUUAGGACAUAGGAAUGAACUGAACUUAUGAAGUUUCUAUGU
Long non-coding RNA from Papaver somniferum (opium poppy), 1250 nucleotides. RefSeq lists it as uncharacterized. The transcript has 10 exons. NCBI's taxonomy places the organism in Eukaryota, Viridiplantae, Streptophyta, Magnoliopsida, Ranunculales, Papaveraceae. The record is from RefSeq and is a predicted model, not a curated record.